UGUAUAGUACUCCCCUGUGUGAUUAUGUCAUAAUGUGCUUACCCAUUCUACUAUUGGGUCGUUUCCAGUUUCAGGCUGUUACUCUGGCUGCUCUGAACUCUCUUGAUCAUGUCUCUUGGGCCCGCCUUCAGCUUCAAAGGACCAACUAUUUCUCCGGUCUCUCGAGUUUCUCGUCUGCAGCCUCCUGUUGGCGACUCCACGGUGACCAUGCCAUUGCUGCCUCACUCCCGGAACUGAGCCCGUCGCCAGCCAGGAUGUCCUGCGCUCCCACCCGGAUCGGCCAGACCUCACAGGGCUCUCCAGAGCACAAACCAGGCGGGAGGCCGCCGCUCCACCCUCAUCGUCCUGGAACCCCGACCUGCAAGCGCGCACGUGCACGCGCGCUCCCCUGCUUCGCUUCGGCACGUUAUCAGAGGCAAAUUCAUGAUCUGUAUACUCAUCCAACACCGGGUGUGAGUUUUACUCCUUCCUCUA
Molecule: long non-coding RNA, 474 nt
Organism: Odocoileus virginianus texanus
Lineage: Eukaryota; Metazoa; Chordata; Mammalia; Artiodactyla; Cervidae
Source: RefSeq, a predicted model, not a curated record